This 292-nucleotide ribosomal RNA is filed under the name uncultured bacterium. RNAcentral's name for it is "partial 16S ribosomal RNA". It matches the Rfam family "Bacterial small subunit ribosomal RNA", at positions 505 to 796 of the family's 1533-position model. The record is from RNAcentral.
GUGUCAGCCGCCGCGGUAAGACGUAGGGGGCCAGCGUUGUUCGGAAUUACUGGGUGUAAAGGGUUCGUAGGCGGUGCGGCAAGUUGGGAGUGAAAUCUCUGGGCUUAACCCAGAGGCUGCUUCCAAAACUGCUGUGCUUGAGUGUGGGAGAGGCGCGUGGAAUUGCAGGUGUAGCGGUGAAAUGCGUAGAUAUCUGCAGGAACACCCGUGGCGAAAGCGGCGCGCUGGACCACUACUGACGCUGAGGAACGAAAGCUAGGGGAGCAAACAGGAUUAGAUACCCGCGUAGUCC